This 305-nucleotide ribosomal RNA is filed under the name uncultured bacterium. Its description in RNAcentral is "bacterial SSU rRNA". It matches the Rfam family "Bacterial small subunit ribosomal RNA", at positions 338 to 659 of the family's 1533-position model. The record is from RNAcentral.
CCUACGGGACGCAGCAGUGGGGAAUAUUGGGCAAUGGACGCAAGUCUGACCCAGCAACGCCGCGUGAAGGAAGAAGGCUUUCGGGUUGUAAACUUCUUUUAAGGGGGAAGAGCAGAAGACGGUACCCCUUGAAUAAGCAUCGGCUAACUCCGUGCCAGCAGCCGCGGUAAUACGGAGGAUGCGAGCGUUAUCCGGAUUUAUUGGGUUUAAAGGGUGCGUAGGCGGAUUUUUAAGUCAGCGGUAAAAUGUCCGGGCUCAACCCGGGCCGGCCGUUGAAACUGGGGAUCUUGAGUGGGCGAGAAGUA